UACGUAGGGUGCAAGCGUUAAUCGGAAUUACUGGGCGUAAAGCGUGCGCAGGCGGUUUUGCAAGACAGGUGUGAAAUCCCCGGGCUUAACCUGGGAACUGCACUUGUGACUGCACAGCUGGAGUACGGCAGAGGGGGAUGGAAUUCCGCGUGUAGCAGUGAAAUGCGUAGAUAUCUGGAGGAACACCGGUGGCGAAGGCGGCAUCCUGGACCGAUAUUGACGCUGAUGCGCGAAAGCCAGGGGAGCAAACGGG
RNAcentral lists this ribosomal RNA (253 nucleotides) under uncultured bacterium. Its description in RNAcentral is "partial 16S ribosomal RNA". It matches the Rfam family "Bacterial small subunit ribosomal RNA", at positions 524 to 776 of the family's 1533-position model. The record is from RNAcentral.